RNAcentral lists this ribosomal RNA (406 nucleotides) under uncultured bacterium. RNAcentral's name for it is "partial 16S ribosomal RNA". It matches the Rfam family "Bacterial small subunit ribosomal RNA", at positions 30 to 526 of the family's 1533-position model. The record is from RNAcentral.
AUUGAACGCUGGCGGCAGGCCUAAAACAUGCAAGUCGAACGAGUGGCGGACGGGUGAGUAAUGUCUGGGAAACUGCCUGAUGGAGGGGGAUAAAUACUGGAAACGGUAGCUAAUACCGCAUACCAUCAGAUGUGCUCAGUUGGGAUUCGCUUGUUGGUGGGGUAACGGCUCACUAAGGCGACGAUCCCUAGCUGGUCUGAGAGGAUGACAGGCCACACUGGAGCUGAGACACGGUCCAGCCUCCUACGGGAGGCAGCAGUUGGGAAUAUUGCACAAUGGGCGCAAGCCUGAUACAGCCAUGCCGCGUGUAUGAUGAGGGCCUUCGGGUUGUAAAGUACUUUCGGCGGGGAGGCGUUACCCGCAGAAGAAGCACCGGCUAACUCCGUGCCAGCAGCCGCGUUAAUUC